GACGAACGCUGGCGGCGUGCUUAACACAUGCAAGUCGAACGGUAAGGCUCCAGCUUGCUGGGGUUCACGAGUGGCGAACGGGUGAGUAACACGUGGGUGACCUGCCCUGCACUUCGGGAUAAGCCUGGGAAACUGGGUCUAAUACCGGAUAGGACCAUGGUGUGGAUACUGUGGUGGAGAGUUUGUUCGGUGUGGGAUGGGCCCGCGGCCUAUCAGCUUGUUGGUGGGGUAAUGGCCUACCAAGGCGGCGACGGGUAGCCGGCCUGAGAGGGUGGACGGCCACAUUGGGACUGAGACACGGCCCAGACUCCUACGGGAGGCAGCAGUGGGGAAUAUUGCACAAUGGGCGGAAGCCUGAUGCAGCGACGCCGCGUGGGGGAUGACGGCCUUCGGGUUGUAAACUCCUUUCUCCAUCGACGAAGGGUUUCUGACGGUAGAUGGAGAAGAAGCACCGGCUAACUACGUG
Molecule: ribosomal RNA, 466 nt
Filed under: uncultured bacterium
Lineage: Bacteria
Description: partial 16S ribosomal RNA
Rfam family: Bacterial small subunit ribosomal RNA
Source: RNAcentral